GAUGUGAAAGCUGAGAGACCAGCAAGCACAGUAUGAUUCCUUCCGAAAAGCAACUGGAUCUGGCUCUUUACUGUAAAAGCUGAAGCUGCUGGAGAAAACAUUUCAGAUCAGACAUAGUAGCAAGAAUAGACAAAGGGGAAUCACGUAAUACCGUCUGCACCUCAGAGGAAACAAUUGUCAAAGUUAAGGUAUAGCCUACAGAACGGGAGAAAAUGUUUGCCAGCCAUGCGUCAAACAAGCUAUUAAUACAGAUAUCAGUAUCCACAGCACGUAAAAGAAAACUUAAAUACCAAAAGACAAACGGUUCUCAGAAGAAGUGCAGAUGACCUAAACAUGCACAUAAAUACUCAGCAUCUUUUCUCAUCAAAGAAAUGCAAAGUUACAGUGAGACUCCAUAUCACCCAGUCAAAAUGGCUGUUAUCAAGAGAUCAAAACAGAACAAGUAUUGGCCCAGAGUGUGGGAGAAAGAAAUCCUAAUACACCAUGGAUGGGAAUGUAAAUUACUCCAAUCCUCAUGGGAAUCAGUAUAGCAUCAUCGUUAUUGUGGUGUCAUGCACAAUGCCCAUGUUAUGCAACCGGCUCUGGUGUUCAUCAGUAGAUGAAUGGAUAAAAACAACUGAGAUACAUAUUCAAGAUGGAUUAUUGUUCAGUGGCAAAGAACAAUGGAACCAUAUUGUUUGUAGUACA
RNAcentral lists this long non-coding RNA (687 nucleotides) under Mus pahari (shrew mouse). RNAcentral's name for it is "lncRNA (MGP_PahariEiJ_G0005460.1)". The record is from RNAcentral. Lineage: Eukaryota; Metazoa; Chordata; Mammalia; Rodentia; Muridae.